UUCUAGGCCAGUGGUGUUCCUUUGCGCUAUAGCCAGUGCGCUAUCUCCUAGAACCUAUCAUGGAGGAGGUUGACAUCACAGACAAGUUCGUGCUUGAGGUCAUUUUCAUUAAGCUGCAGCUCGCGCAACCACUAUUUUUACUACUGCAAAGUUGGACAGAGGUUUGCAGUAACAAUCAAGCUCCGUCCCAGCACGCGGCAUCAGCGACAUGAUGCUGAAGCAAUGGCACUAUCCGGAUAUUCAUCUAAUUCCAUAGAAGUUGCAACGGAUGUUGCAGCGGCUCGAGUUAUCAGAUACAUGGAGGAUGUGUGUGCCAAGGUGCUCAAGGACUAUAGUUACAACGAACUGAAACAAACAAAGGAAAGAGAAUUGCAUCUAAUUGGUUUGUUAAUAGACAAAGAAAAGUAGAUCAAAGAGCAGAAUUGGAAGAUCAGAGAGCUUAGCAAAGGCUUUGCAGACAAUAUGUAUCAAGUUAAAAACACUUUUGCUGGGAUUCAUCACAUAGCUAAAGACGGUGUAUACUCAACCAAUUCUACAAACGGCAAUGACCCCACAAGGCUGAUGUUGAUGUGCAGAAUGAACUUGCUCAUCUGCAGGAUGCAGUUGAUUGACUAAUGACCCUAUGCAGCUGAUUCGAAACACGUUGGUUCAUCCCUUUUAAAUAGUGUCUGCUUCCAUGCCUAUGUACCUUUGGAAGAUGCUUACCGGCUAUAACAACUUUAUUUAAAUGACCAGUGACACCGUGCUAACUAAUUAGCCUGUGAAGUUUUGUGUAUAGGUUCACCUAAAGAACAUGUUUACUUUUGGCACUACUCUCUGGUCAUCAUGUUUACUCUACUAAGCUACCUAAAUAGCCUAUGAAGCUUUGUGUGUAUAGCUUCACCCUAAGAACCCGUUUGCUUUUGGCACUACUCUCUGGUCAUAUAUAAAUUUGGAAUGCAUGAUGCUAUGUUGUAUCCAUGUGAUAUAUCUA
This is a long non-coding RNA of Triticum dicoccoides, 973 nucleotides long. RefSeq lists it as uncharacterized. The record is from RefSeq and is a predicted model, not a curated record. The transcript is spliced from 2 exons. Lineage: Eukaryota; Viridiplantae; Streptophyta; Magnoliopsida; Poales; Poaceae.